ACGUGAAUACAUAGCGUAAUGAAGCGAACCGGGGGAACUGAAACAUCUAAGUACCCCGAGGAAAAGAAAUCAACCGAGAUUCCCCCAGUAGCGGCGAGCGAACGGGGAGCAGCCCAGAGUCUGAAUCAGCUUGUGUGUUAGUGGAACGGUCUGGAAAGUCCGACGGUACAGGGUGAUAGUCCCGUACACCAAAAUGCACAGGUUGUGAACUCGAAGAGUAGGGCGGGACACGUGGUAUCCUGUCUGAAUAUGGGGGGACCAUCCUCCAAGGCUAAAUACUCCUGACUGACCGAUAGUGAACCAGUACCGUGAGGGAAAGGCGAAAAGAACCCCGGCGAGGGGAGUGAAAAAGAACCUGAAACCGUGUACGUACAAGCAGUGGGAGCCUCUUUAUGGGGUGACUGCGUACCUUUUGUAUAAUGGGUCAGCGACUUAUAUUCUGUAGCAAGGUUAACCGUAUAGGGGAGCCGAAGGGAAACCGAGUCUUAACUGGGCGUUAAGUUGCAGGGUAUAGACCCGAAACCCGGUGAUCUAGCCAUGGGCAGGUUGAAGGUUGGGUAACACUAACUGGAGGACCGAACCGACUAAUGUUGAAAAAUUAGCGGAUGACUUGUGGCUGGGGGUGAAAGGCCAAUCAAACCGGGAGAUAGCUGGUUCUCCCCGAAAGC
This 668-nucleotide ribosomal RNA is filed under the name Citrobacter freundii. Its description in RNAcentral is "partial 23S ribosomal RNA". It matches the Rfam family "Bacterial large subunit ribosomal RNA", at positions 156 to 866 of the family's 2925-position model. Lineage: Bacteria; Pseudomonadati; Pseudomonadota; Gammaproteobacteria; Enterobacterales; Enterobacteriaceae. The record is from RNAcentral.